AGCCGCGGUAAUUCCAGCUCCAAUAGCGUAUAUUAACAUUGUUGUCGUUAAAAAGCUCGUAGUCGAACUUCGGGUCCUGUAGGCCGGUCCGCCUUCUUGGUGUGUACUUGCUCUAUGGGACCUUACCUCCUGGUGAACGGCGAUGUCCUUUACUGGGUGUCGUCGCAAACCAGGACGUUUACUUUGAAAAAAUUAGAGUGUUCAAAGCAGGCCUUUGCCCGAAUACAUUAGCAUGGAAUAAUAGAAUAGGACGCGCGUUCCCAUUUUGUUGGUUUCUGAGAUCGCCGUAAUGAUUAAUAGGGAUAGUUGGGGGCAUUUGUAUUCCGACGUCAGAGGUGAAAUUCUUGGAUUGCCGGAAGACAAACUACUGCGAAAGCAUUUGCCAAGGAUGUUUUCAUUGAUCAAGAACGAAGGAAGGGGGAUCGAAAACGAUUAGAUACCGUUGUAGUCUCUUCUGUAAACUAUGCCAAUUGGGGAUCGGUACAGGAUUUUUAAUGACUGUAUCGGCACCCGAAGAGAAAUCUUUAAAUGAGGUUCGGGGGGGAGUAUGGUCGCAAGGCUGAAACUUAAAG
This 572-nucleotide ribosomal RNA is filed under the name Pycnococcus provasolii. RNAcentral's name for it is "partial Eukaryotic small subunit ribosomal RNA". It matches the Rfam family "Eukaryotic small subunit ribosomal RNA", at positions 572 to 1149 of the family's 1831-position model. Lineage: Eukaryota; Viridiplantae; Chlorophyta; Pseudoscourfieldiophyceae; Pseudoscourfieldiales; Pycnococcaceae. The record is from RNAcentral.